AUGAACGCUGGCGGCGUGCCUAAUACAUGCAAGUCGAGCGAACAGACGAGGAGCUUGCUCCUCUGACGUUAGCGGCGGACGGGUGAGUAACACGUGGAUAACCUACCUAUAAGACUGGGAUAACUUCGGGAAACCGGAGCUAAUACCGGAUAAUAUAUUGAACCGCAUGGUUCAAUAGUGAAAGACGGUUUUGCUGUCACUUAUAGAUGGAUCCGCGCCGCAUUAGCUAGUUGGUAUGGUAACGGCUUACCAAGGCGACGAUGCGUAGCCGACCUGAGAGGGUGAUCGGCCACACUGGAACUGAGACACGGUCCAGACUCCUACGGGAGGCAGCAGUAGGGAAUCUUCCGCAAUGGGCGAAAGCCUGACGGAGCAACGCCGCGUGAGUGAUGAAGGUCUUCGGAUCGUAAAACUCUGUUAUUAGGGAAGAACAAAUGUGUAAGUAACUAUGCACGUCUUGACGGUACCUAAUCAGAAAGCCACGGCUAACUACGUG
Molecule: ribosomal RNA, 496 nt
Filed under: uncultured bacterium
Lineage: Bacteria
Description: partial 16S ribosomal RNA
Rfam family: Bacterial small subunit ribosomal RNA
Source: RNAcentral